GGUAAUAGCCCAAACAAAAAAGAAAAUACAAAUAGACUAUUAUUCAGCAUCUAAUAUAGGACAUACCAUAGGCAUCGAUCAUAAUCAAAAAUUUCAACUAUUCUGAAAUGGCAGAGUUUGUCUCCCAACAAACCUCUCCCAUUCAUCCUUUUAAAGCCAACCAAUCAGUUAUUCGGUUCCUAUUGCAAUAAAUGUAGAUAGCUUUGAACACAAUUAAAGUCGCUUUCAUCUACAAAAAAUCUUUUAACAAAAGGUGACAACCAAGAGCUUUAACCACUUCAUCAAGCCA
Molecule: long non-coding RNA, 289 nt
Filed under: Elaeis guineensis (African oil palm)
Lineage: Eukaryota; Viridiplantae; Streptophyta; Magnoliopsida; Arecales; Arecaceae
Description: long non-coding RNA (EGUI_LNC004392)
Source: RNAcentral